RNAcentral lists this ribosomal RNA (1563 nucleotides) under Lupinus angustifolius (narrow-leaved blue lupine). Its description in RNAcentral is "bacterial SSU rRNA". The stretch from base 1 to 924 matches the Rfam family "Eukaryotic small subunit ribosomal RNA". Lineage: Eukaryota; Viridiplantae; Streptophyta; Magnoliopsida; Fabales; Fabaceae. The record is from RNAcentral.
CCUGGUUGAUCCUACCAGUAGUCAUAUGCUUGUCUCAAAGAUUAAAUCAUGCAUGUGUAAAUAUGAACUAAUUAAGACUAUGAAACUACGAAUGGCUCAUUUAAUCAGUUAUAGUUUGUUUGAUGGUAUCUACUACUCGGAUAACCUUAGUAAUUCUAGAGCUAAUACAUGCAAAAAAAACCCCAACUUCUAGAAGGGAUGCAUUUAUUAGAUAAAUGAUCAACGCAGGCUCUUCCUGUUGCUUUAAUGAUUCAUGAUAACUCGUCGAAUCGCACGGCCUUUGUAUCAGCGACGCAUCAUUCAAAUUUUGGCCCUAUCAACUUUCGAUGGUAGGAUAGUGACCUACCAUGCUGGUGACGGGUGACAGAGAAUUAGGGAUCAAUUCUGGAGAGGGAGCCUGAGAAACGGCUACCACAUCCAAGGAAGCCAGCAUGCGCGCAAAUUACCCAAUCCUGACAUGGGGAGGUAGUGACAAUAAAUAACAAUAUCGGGCUCAUUGAGUCUAGUAAUUGGAAAGAGUACAAUCUAAAUCCCUUAAUGAGGAUCCAUUAGAGGGCAAGUCUGGUGCCAGCAGCCGCAGUAAUUCUAGCUCAAAUAGCAUAUAUUUAAGUUGUUGUAGUUAAAAAUCUCGUAGUUGGACUUUGGGUUGGGUCGAUCGGUCUGCCAUUGGUGUGCACUGGUCGGCUCGGCCCUUCUGCUGGCGAUGUGCUCCUGGCCUUAACUGGUCGGGCUGUUCCUCUAGUGCUGUUACUUUGAAGAAAUUAGAGUGCUCAAAGCAAGCCUAGGCUCUGGAUACAUUAGCAUGGGAUAACACCACAGGAUUCUGAUCUUAUUGUGUCGGCCUUCGGGAUCGAAGUAAUGCGACCCCGUAAAUCUGUUUUACUCCUCAGGGGUGGCUAGAGGUGUUUGGCACCUCGAUCCCCCUCGUGUCAAGAGGUACCACACCCUCUGUGGUGUCCUCCUGGCCUAAUAACAAAAACUCGGCAUGAAACACGCCAUGAAAAUUGAAAUCGUUUAGUUCGCCACCGUCGGCACAGAGACGAUGCUCGUGUGGGCAGCGUUACGACACACUUAUCCUAAAGACUCUAGGCAACGGAUAUCUCAGCUCUUGCAUCAAUGAAGAACGUAGAGAAAUGCGAUACUUAGUGUGAAUUGCAUAAUCCCGUGAACCAUCGAGUCUUUGAACACAAGUUGAACCUGAAGCCAUUAGGUCGAGGGCACGCCUGUCUAGGUGUUGCACAUCGUUGCCCCAUGCCUUGGCCACGUGCUAGGCACCAAGCAGGGCGAAUGUUGGCUUCCCACGAGCAAUAUCCCACGGUUGGUUGAAAACUGAGUCCACGGUGGAGGGCGUCGUGAGGGAUGGUGGCUGAGCUAAAGCUCGACACCAGUCGUAAGUGUCACCCCCACCAUCUUUACGACUCUUUGACCCAUGGGGGUCUGUUGGCCACCUAGUACGGGAACCUCAGGUCAGGCGGGGCUACCCGCUGAGUUUAAGCAUAUCAAUAAGCGGAGGUAAAUAAACUAACUAUGAUUCAUUUAGUAACGACUAGCGAACCGGGAAAA